RNAcentral lists this ribosomal RNA (210 nucleotides) under Triticum aestivum (bread wheat). Its description in RNAcentral is "partial small subunit ribosomal RNA". The record is from RNAcentral. Lineage: Eukaryota; Viridiplantae; Streptophyta; Magnoliopsida; Poales; Poaceae.
AUGGCGCUGAGCCCGAGCGGACUGAAGAAGAUGGGGGAGCUCCACCUCGCCGACCGGUUCACCUGCACGGCGUGGGCCAACAUGCUGGCGCAGUAUGGGUGGGCGCUGCGGCCCAAGAUGCACUACACGAACCCUCUCUCCGUGCGGCAGCUGGACUACCUCCGGUACCAGACGAUUUGUGAUUGUGGCCACACGGCUGGGCAGGGCUGA